GGAAGACUCACUUGUGAUUACUGCUGUGUGAAAAACAACUCUUGUGAUAGAUCUUGAAGGGUAGAAAACAUGACAGGGAACAGGGGAAUUACAGAAGCAUCCUCAGCAGAAACACUGUAAGAAUAAGAUGGAAAAGUUGAAGACAAAGUGAGUCAUCUCAAGCCCAUCAUCACCAGAAAAGAAAAUUUGGUGACCAGCCUUGUCCUGCAGAACAUUAUAGAAGAGGGAGCACCAAGGGAAUAGCACUGCUUGCCAUCAUCAGCAAAUCCAGACCUGAGUGUAUGUUUCUCCAAGUUCUGCCAGAAGCUCAGCGGGGAGAAGUGGUACUAAGGGGCCUACACUUUCCGUCUGCCUGUAGUUACUCCACAUUUAGUAUUGAAACAUGGUAAGCCUUUAAAAAGUGAACUACAUGGAAAACUUUUCAUUAUACUUCUUUUUAAAUUUUUUUUUUAUUUAUUCAUGAGAGACACAGAGAGAGAGGCAGAGACAUAGGCAGAGGGAGAAGCAGACUCCAUGCUGGGGACCCCAUAUGGGACUUGAUCCCAGGACCCCGGGAUCAGGACCUGAGCUGAAGGCAGAUGCUCAACUACUGAGUCACUCAGGUGGAGAAACUUCCGUUCUAAAAAAUAACCAGGGAGAAGUUGAAAGAAGCUACAUUGGAGUUUGCUGAGCCAGUUGCUAGAAUGAACUGGAAAAACUACUAUUUUUUAUUGAAAACUAAAUUCCCAAGGCCAAUUAAUGUACCAAUAUGUUCUAAUCCAUUUAUGUUUCAAUAUGAGACAAUAUUAACUUUUGCAUCAAAAAUUUGAUUCCUAAAAAAUUCUCCUAUUGUUAAAAAUCUAAGUACAUUUUCCUUAUUAUUUGUUAUAAUUGUGCUUCUUAUAGAAGCACUUUCAUGGUAUAAUAUUACCUUUACCUAUAUAUUUCAAAAGAGUCUGCUACGAGAUUCUCAGUUGUUUUUAGGUAGAGAAAGAAGGGUGCAGAGGAGGGGCAGGAUGGCGGAAGAGUAGGGUCCCCAAGUCACCUGUCCCCAACAAAUUACCUAGAAAACCUUCAAAUCAUCCUGAAAAUCUACGAAUUCGGCCUGAGAUUUAAAGAGAGACCAGCUGGAAUGCUGCAGUGAGAAGAGUUCGCGCUUCUAUCAAGGUAGGAAGACGGGGAAAAAGAAAUAAAGAAACAAAAGGCCUCCA
Molecule: long non-coding RNA, 1190 nt
Filed under: Vulpes vulpes (red fox)
Lineage: Eukaryota; Metazoa; Chordata; Mammalia; Carnivora; Canidae
Description: lncRNA (ENSVVUG00000021160.1)
Source: RNAcentral